CCGGUUGAUCCUGCCGGAGGUCACUGCUAUUGGGAUUCGACUAAGCCAUGCGAGUCGAGAGGGUUCGGCCCUCGGCUGACGGCUCAGUAACACGUGGAUAAUCUGCCCUUAGGUGGAGGAUACCCUCGGGAAACUGAGAAUAAUACUCCAUAGGUCUAGGAUGCUGGAAUGCAUCUAGACUUAAAGCUCCGGCGCCUAAGGAUGAGUCUGCGGACUAUCAGGUUGUAGUCAGGGUAAAGACCUGACUAGCCUACGACGGAUACGGGUUGUGAGAGCAAUAACCCGGAGAUGAUAUCUGAGACACGAUAUCAGGCCCUACGGGGCGCAGCAGGCGCGAAAACUUCACACUGUGCGAAAGCACGAUGAGGGAAUCCCAAGUGCCAGCUCGUAAGAGUUGGCUGUUUUUCUGUUUAAAGUGCAGAGAGAGUAAGAGCUGGGUAAGACGGGUGCCAGCCGCCGCGGUAAUACCUGCAGCUCAAGUGGUGACCGUUAUUAUUGGGCCUAAAACGUCCGUAGCCGGUUUAGUAAAUGCCUGGGUAAAUCGUGUAGCUUAACUAUACGAAUUCUGGGUAGACUGCUAAACUUGGGACCGGGAGAAGCUAGAGGUACUCCUGGGGUAGAGGUGAAAUUCUGUAAUCCU
RNAcentral lists this ribosomal RNA (640 nucleotides) under uncultured archaeon. Its description in RNAcentral is "bacterial SSU rRNA". It matches the Rfam family "Archaeal small subunit ribosomal RNA", at positions 4 to 649 of the family's 1478-position model. The record is from RNAcentral.